This 142-nucleotide unclassified non-coding RNA is filed under the name uncultured Rozellomycota. RNAcentral's name for it is "uncultured Cryptomycota sequence contains ITS2". The record is from RNAcentral. Lineage: Eukaryota; Fungi; Rozellomycota.
AUAUCACUGAUCCGAUUGCAUCCACAUGCAGUCAGUCGACAUGGGCCUUCAGCACUGAUCGCCUCGAAUUAGUCGCGAUCGUCGUGGUAGACAAGGGGUGUGGCAGCGAUGCCAUCCAGUGUUGUCGACGAUCAAACCGUGC